This 76-nucleotide transfer RNA is filed under the name Podarcis lilfordi (Lilford's wall lizard). RNAcentral's name for it is "tRNA.Lys". The stretch from base 6 to 63 matches the Rfam family "tRNA", at positions 8 to 63 of the family's 71-position model. From Rfam's summary of the family: Transfer RNA (tRNA) molecules are approximately 80 nucleotides in length. Their secondary structure includes four short double-helical elements and three loops (D, anti-codon, and T loops). Further hydrogen bonds mediate the characteristic L-shaped molecular structure. tRNAs have two regions of fundamental functional importance: the anti-codon, which is responsible for specific mRNA codon recognition, and the 3' end, to which the tRNAs corresponding amino acid is attached (by aminoacyl-tRNA synthetases). tRNAs cope with the degeneracy of the genetic code in two manners: having more than one tRNA (with a specific anti-codon) for a particular amino acid; and 'wobble' base-pairing, i.e. permitting non-standard base-pairing at the 3rd anti-codon position. The record is from RNAcentral. Lineage: Eukaryota; Metazoa; Chordata; Lepidosauria; Squamata; Lacertidae.
CUGAAUAGCUCAGUCGGUAGAGCAUGAGACUCUUAAUCUCAGGGUUAUGGGUUCAAGCCCUAUGCUGAGUGAAAGA